ACCACGCAGCGAGUCUUCCUUGUCCGAAGGUCCGGGUAAUCAUUGUAAAUGUGUGUCGUGAUAGGGAUAGAUUAUUGCAAUUAUUAAUCUUGAACGAGGAAUUCCUAGUAAAUGCGAGUCAUCAGCUCGCGUUGAUUACGU
RNAcentral lists this ribosomal RNA (141 nucleotides) under uncultured eukaryote. RNAcentral describes it as "partial 18S ribosomal RNA". It matches the Rfam family "Eukaryotic small subunit ribosomal RNA", at positions 1507 to 1650 of the family's 1831-position model. The record is from RNAcentral.